This 842-nucleotide ribosomal RNA is filed under the name uncultured Campylobacterota bacterium. RNAcentral describes it as "bacterial SSU rRNA". It matches the Rfam family "Bacterial small subunit ribosomal RNA", at positions 8 to 868 of the family's 1533-position model. The record is from RNAcentral. Lineage: Bacteria; Pseudomonadati; Campylobacterota.
AGAGUUUGAUCAUGGCUCAGAAUGAACGCUGGCGGCGUGCUUAACACAUGCAAGUCGAACGAUGAAGCCUAGCUUGCUAGGUGGAUUAGUGGCGCACGGGUGAGUAAUAUAUAGAUAACGUGCCUCUUAGUCUGGGAUAGCCAUUGGAAACGAUGAUUAAUACUAGAUACUCCUUCUCUUUAUAAUAAGAGUUGGGAAAGUUUUUCGCUAAGAGAUCGGUCUAUAUCCCAUCAGCUUGUUGGUAGUGUAAGAGACUACCAAGGCAAUGACGGGUAGCGGGUUUGAGAGGAUGAUCCGCCACACUGGUACUGAGACACGGACCAGACUCCUACGGGAGGCAGCAGUGAGGAAUAUUGCACAAUGGAGGAAACUCUGAUGCAGCAACGCCGCGUGGAGGAUGACGCAUUUCGGUGUGUAAACUCCUUUUAUAUGUCAAGAAAAUGACGGUAGCAUAUGAAUAAGCACCGGCUAACUCCGUGCCAGCAGCCGCGGUAAUACGGAGGGUGCAAGCGUUAUUCGGAAUCACUGGGCGUAAAGGACACGUAGGCGGGAAGCCAAGUCUGAUGUGAAAUCCUAUGGCUUAACCAUAGAACUGCAUUGGAAACUGGUUACCUAGAGUAUGGGAGGGGGAGAUGGAAUUAGUGGGUGUAGGGGGUAAAAUCCGUAGAUAUCACUAGGAAUACCUAAAGCGAAGGCGAUCUCCUGGAACAUUACUGACGCUAAGGUGUGAAAGCGUGGGGAGCAAACGGGAUUAGAUACCCCGGUAGUCCACGCCCUAAACGACGUUCACUAGUCGUCGGGAUGCUAGUCAUCUCGGUGAUGCACUUAACAGAUUAAGUGAA